ACAGCUCAAAUUUGAAAUCUGGCCUCUCUCGGGGUCCGAGUUGUAAUUUGUAGAAGAUGCUUCGAGCGUGGCUCCGGUCUAAGUCCCUUGGAACAGGGCGUCAUAGAGGGUGAGAAUCCCGUAUGUGACUGGCUGCCUCCGUUCAUGUGAAGCUCUUUCGACGAGUCGAGUUGUUUGGGAAUGCAGCUCAAAAUGGGUGGUAAAUUUCAUCUAAAGCUAAAUAUUGGCCAGAGACCGAUA
RNAcentral lists this ribosomal RNA (240 nucleotides) under Pezizellaceae sp. RNAcentral's name for it is "partial large subunit ribosomal RNA". It matches the Rfam family "Eukaryotic large subunit ribosomal RNA", at positions 104 to 339 of the family's 3401-position model. The record is from RNAcentral. Lineage: Eukaryota; Fungi; Ascomycota; Leotiomycetes; Helotiales; Pezizellaceae.